UACGUAGGUGGCAAGCGUUGUCCGGAUUUAUUGGGUUUAAAGGGUGCGCAGGCGGCUUGCUAAGACAGGUGUGAAAGCCCCGAGCUUAACUUGGGAAUGGCGCUUGUGACUGGCAGGCUGGAGUGUGGCAGAGGGAGGUGGAAUUCCACGUGUAGCAGUGAAAUGCGUAGAGAUGUGGAGGAACACCGAUGGCGAAGGCAGCCUCCUGGGCCAACACUGACGCUCAUGCACGAAAGCGUGGGGAGCAAACAGG
Molecule: ribosomal RNA, 253 nt
Filed under: uncultured bacterium
Lineage: Bacteria
Description: partial 16S ribosomal RNA
Rfam family: Bacterial small subunit ribosomal RNA
Source: RNAcentral